Molecule: long non-coding RNA, 442 nt
Filed under: Androctonus crassicauda
Lineage: Eukaryota; Metazoa; Arthropoda; Arachnida; Scorpiones; Buthidae
Source: RNAcentral
GUUUCAGAUUAUAUAACUAAGGAGUCAGAAACCACAAUUAAAGUUUAUUGCGAAUGUUUUCAAUGUACUGGACAUCAUCUUCAGGCAAUACAUUCCAAAUUUAAAUUAACAGAACACAAACGUUUUUAGAACAAUGCUAGGUUACCAAGGUUACAAUAACUACUACAAUAAACAAAUAAAUAAAUAAAUCUUAAAUGAGCAAAAGUCGGGAGUGUACAAAAUACCUAUUAAAAAUAAUAUGACAGGUAGGAAUGAGACCUACAUAGGGGUGACAACAAGGUCACUAGAACAAAGAUUAUGGGAGCACAAAAGAGACAUGGCUAAAGGAAUGAUGAAUACAGCUCUAGCAGUAUGUGCAUAUGAAAAUGACAUACAGGUGAAUUGGCAUGAAGCAGAAGUGUUAAAAAGUAUAAGAAAAGAAAAACACACAGUAAUGGCCGAA